UCUUAAAAUUUAAAAAAUCAAUGUUCUCGGUGUCUUAUAAAUAUAAUAAAGCCAAUACAAAAUAACAAGAUCCACUUUUGCCCUAAUGGUACCUUUUAUUAUCACCAAACGCCACAACUUUAAUUUAAAUUUGAUUAUAACUAAAAUUGAUUGUCCACAUCCUGAGCAACCCGUCACCGCAGUGAGACCCAAAACCAGUGGCCACAUGGAAAACUAACCAGCGUACACAACAUAUGCAGCCGGGGGAGAAAAAUACGUAAAUUUUGGCACAGCACACCCAAAGAUAAGCCGCAGACCGCCCCAAAGACCCAGAUCCCAAAACCAUUCUGAAAGGUCCUGGGCGGGGUUAUUUAUAUGCGCAUAUCAUUUGACCUUGACGAAAAGCUAGCCGAACAUCUGAAACUGGAGCCUUCGACUCGCCGAAUCGUAAAGACCACCAAAUGUCGCCAGGGGAGCGGAGAAUGGGGGGAAGUUGUCUAAUUAAACACUCCACAUAAGAAAUAAAUUUGGGUCACAUCGUUAAAUAAAUAUAAGUGGGUCGGCAGGACGUCUGACGGCCAGCGCUUUCCAUUUCACAAUUUACAUAAAAU
Molecule: long non-coding RNA, 590 nt
Organism: Drosophila santomea
Lineage: Eukaryota; Metazoa; Arthropoda; Insecta; Diptera; Drosophilidae
Exons: 2
Source: RefSeq, a predicted model, not a curated record